AGUGAACGCUGGCGGUAGGCCUAACACAUGCAAGUCGAACGGCAGCACAGUAAGAGCUUGCUCUUACGGGUGGCGAGUGGCGGACGGGUGAGGAAUACAUCGGAAUCUACUUUUUCGUGGGGGAUAACGUAGGGAAACUUACGCUAAUACCGCAUACGACCUACGGGUGAAAGCAGGGGAUCUUCGGACCUUGCGCGAUUGAAUGAGCCGAUGUCGGAUUAGCUAGUUGGCGGGGUAAAGGCCCACCAAGGCGACGAUCCGUAGCUGGUCUGAGAGGAUGAUCAGCCACACUGGAACUGAGACACGGUCCAGACUCCUACGGGAGGCAGCAGUGGGGAAUAUUGGACAACGGGCGCAAGCCUGAUCCAGCCAUACCGCGUGGGUGAAGAAGGCCUUCGGGUUGUAAAGCCCUUUUGUUGGGAAAGAAAAGCAGCAGGUUAAUACCCCGCUGUUCUGACGGUACCCAAAGAAUAGGCACCGGCUAACUUCGUG
RNAcentral lists this ribosomal RNA (492 nucleotides) under uncultured bacterium. RNAcentral's name for it is "partial 16S ribosomal RNA". It matches the Rfam family "Bacterial small subunit ribosomal RNA", at positions 29 to 507 of the family's 1533-position model. The record is from RNAcentral.